This 274-nucleotide ribosomal RNA is filed under the name uncultured bacterium. RNAcentral describes it as "partial 16S ribosomal RNA". It matches the Rfam family "Bacterial small subunit ribosomal RNA", at positions 523 to 796 of the family's 1533-position model. The record is from RNAcentral.
CUACGGAGGGGACUAGCGUUGUUCGGAUUUACUGGGCGUAAAGCGCGCGUAGGCGGUUUGGAAAGUCAGAUGUGAAAUCCCAGGGCUCAACCCUGGAACUGCAUUUGAAACUAUCAGACUAGAGAUUGGGAGAGGUAAGUGGAAUUCCGAGUGUAGAGGUGAAAUUCGUAGAUAUUCGGAGGAACACCAGAGGCGAAGGCGACUUACUGGACCAAUACUGACGCUGAGGUGCGAAAGCGUGGGGAGCAAACAGGAUUAGAAACCCUAGUAGUCC